This is a small nuclear RNA of Ciona intestinalis (vase tunicate), 160 nucleotides long. Its record names the gene U1. It matches the Rfam family "U1 spliceosomal RNA". Rfam says of the family: U1 is a small nuclear RNA (snRNA) component of the spliceosome (involved in pre-mRNA splicing). Its 5' end forms complementary base pairs with the 5' splice junction, thus defining the 5' donor site of an intron. There are significant differences in sequence and secondary structure between metazoan and yeast U1 snRNAs, the latter being much longer (568 nucleotides as compared to 164 nucleotides in human). The record is from Ensembl. NCBI's taxonomy places the organism in Eukaryota, Metazoa, Chordata, Ascidiacea, Phlebobranchia, Cionidae.
UAACUUACCUGACGAAGGCCUUCACUGCGAUCAGGCAGGCAGUGGGUCCAAGGUGAGACUAUAGGCCAUUGCACAUCGGCUUAGCUGACCCUUGCGAUUACUUCAAAUGUAGGAAACUGCACGGUCGUAUAAUUUCUGCUAGCGUUCGCACUACAAAAAA